UGCAGUUCUCAGGUGACGCACCCAGAACCAGAGAGGAGGGAGCCUGAUUCUGGGGUGUGUCACCUGAGAACCGCC
Myotis lucifugus (little brown bat) is the source of this 75-nucleotide non-coding RNA. NCBI's taxonomy places the organism in Eukaryota, Metazoa, Chordata, Mammalia, Chiroptera, Vespertilionidae. The record is from Rfam.